Phocoena sinus (vaquita) is the source of this 2956-nucleotide long non-coding RNA. The record is from Ensembl. Lineage: Eukaryota; Metazoa; Chordata; Mammalia; Artiodactyla; Phocoenidae.
UGCGUACCUUGGACCAGUGACAGCCUCUGCUCAGAAACCCCAGCCCAGGGGUCCUCCUGAAGCGGCCGCAGAGACAGAGUUUAUCGCGUCUCCCACAUCAGGGUCAAGCUGGGACCGGUGUCCACCAGCCUCCAGCUGUCUGGUUGUCCCGCUUCCCGGUGUUGGGUCACCCAGCGCGGAGCCCGAGGUCCCUUUGGGAGGGUCUGGGGGGGUCAUUCCAGUGCCUGCUUGCCGUGGUGCUGCAGCGUCCUUCCCCCGGGGACCCGCCACGUCCCUGGUCCGCGGUUCCACGUCUGAGAACUGGCUCGGGGGCAGAACCUGGGCGAGGGAUCAUGACUUGUUCACUGGGGCGGCUGCCCUCGGCCUCCUGCCGUCCAUCCUUGCUCUUUUGAGUGUCCGUCUUAGACUGUAUCUUGGUUGGUUGCCCAUCCAUCGAGUCCCCGGGAAGCCGUGUGGUACUGACCACCUGCCCCGCUCGCGCUUCAGGUCCCACAGCAAACCGGGGCGGCUGGCUACCCUGUCUCCUGGGACGGAGGGCACCUGUGGGGAAGGACACGGGUCCUGUUUGCUCCCUCGGGGGCGGCCUCCAUUUCCUGGCUUGUGAUGAGGUUUCCAAUUCUUGUUCCUGACUUCAGAAAGAAGAUUAGAGAGACGCCGCACUAGGUACCAGAAGUAUGUUGACAGUGGAAGAGCAUCAAGGUUCACAAGAUAUGGAGCCAGAAGCUAGUCUGUGGGAAAGUCUUCCAGUCAUGAAUCAGAUGUGUAAACUCAACGAACACCAAGGUUGUGUGAAAUGGCAUUCUUCAGAAUUCCUGAGAUUGUGAGCACAGACACGAAACAAGAGCCCAAAUGUUGAGUGGUGUGCAGAAGUUAAUGUAGCAGGCCUGAGACUGCCGUGCUUAGGAAGACCUGCUUGUAAGGGUGGCCUUCUGCUGGCAUCUGGCAUCAUGGCUCUCAGAGUGUCCCCAGUUAAUGGAAAACUGAUGAGAACGGCUCACUGUGCUUAGACUGUUUAUACAUACAGUGUGCUUGACGCUGGACCCCUGCUUUCCUUCUGGCAGUCUGGAAUUCUCCCAGAAGGUGCACGCUAGGCAGACGCUGUCUAUGUGAACAGCCUCGAAGAAAAGCCGUGGGCACUGAAUCUGGGCUGCCCUGGGCAGCAACAUCACACACGUCGCCGCAUUUUCUCUGCUGAGGGAAGAGUGUCCUCUGUGUGGCUCCACAUGGGAAGGAGAGAGCAUAAGGAAGUCUGCACGUGGAUUCUUCCAGGCUCUGCCUGUAUCUUUCCCCCUUGUGAUCCACCUUUGUGUCCUUGCUACAUUGCUGUACUAAAUCUUAGCUGUGAGGAAAACUAUGUGCUGAGUCCUGUGAGUCUCCGACUAUAACAGAAAAGUGGGAAUAAUAUAUUACAGAGGCUUCUCAGGCAAUUAAUAAAAAUAUGCUUUAGUUUAUUGUCAUUUUUCCUGAAUUUUGAGAUAUGUCUAACAUUCGUCGACUUUUUCAAAUGUGUACUCUAUUGUAUUUCUUUUUUCAUUUUAAAUAUUUACUUUUGUUCCUGAUUUUGUAUUGGUAAUUUUGUAUUCUUAUCCUUAACGAGGGCCUCAAGUGUUAUGAAGCUUCAGGUCCCACAAAACCUGGAUCUACCUCUGUCAUGGAUCCAAGACUUGCUAUCUCUUGUUGAUUUUGUAUUGUCACCUCGUAUUUCACGGGUGGGGAAAUUAAAACCCAAAGGGGGAAGUCAAGCUUACUUGGCAAAACUGGGAUAGGAUCCAGAUCUUUCAACUCCCAAUUUAAUGCUUUUCCCUCCAUUCCUUAAAGGGUUUUGAUGAUUUGUCUGUAAACGAUGGCCAUGAUGCAUUGGACAUACACUGGAUGGCACUUAGGAGACUGAAGCUCUAGUCCCUUCUCUUUCAGUAGAUGGAUAAUCUUGAAUGACCCCUUUCUCUUCUGGAGCACAUUUUCUCCUUUUGUAAAAUAAAGAGGCUGGACUAGAUGCUCUUUAGAGGCCUUUCUCUCUCUGAUGUUCCCAAAGAUCAUCAUUCUAGAAAUGCUGAAUCACAAAUCAUAGUUGAAACCACUCAUCUUCUUGUCCUUGGGUCUUCUCCAUCUCUAAAAAUGGAAAUAAAAUUCUCACCUCUACUGGUUGUUGUGAAGCCCCUGGCACGAUUCAUGAUAGAGCAAGUAAUCAAAAGUUGCUUCCAUCCUUCUGUCCAAUCAGGAACAAAGGUUUUCUUGUUUGAUUUUUGGUCCUUGCCUUUGGAAUCAAAGAAUCUUUGAUCAGCAAACCUAAAUUUUAAAAAGGAAAGAAAAUGAAAUAUACAUACUCUGCUUUUAAACCUUUUUAAAUGGAAGUAUAGUACACGUUGCAAACAGGGAAAAUGCACAAAUAUUAAGUGAACAGAUUAAUGAAUAUUCACAAAGUUAACACACCAAUGAGCAGCAUUUAUAUUAAGUAAUAGAACAUUGCUAGGACUCCCGUGUGAUCCCUUCCAAGUCACUACUUCUGCCCAAGAGUAACCACUAUUCUGACUUGUAACAUCUUUGAUUACAUAAAUGGAAUCCUACAUUACGUACUCUUAUUAUUGUCUGGAUUCUCAUACUUAAUAUUGCUUGAGAUCCAUUCAGGUUGUCUCGUGAGCAGCCUUUCCUUUCUUCUCAUUGCCAUACAGUAUUCCGUUUUAUGACUGGACUAUGAUUGAUUGAUCUAUUCCACUGUUUGCGGAUAUUGGCGUAGUGUCCAGGUUUUUGCUAAUACAGAUAAAGCUGCUAUGAAUAGCCUGGUAUUUAGUUUCUUUGGUAAAUAUAUGUUUCUGUUACAUAUAUGUCUAGAGGUGGAAUUGAUGAUUUGCAGGAUGUACAUGUUUAAUUUUAGCAGAUGGUGCCAAGUAGCUUUCCGUAGUGGCCGUAACAAUUUACACUACCACCAGCAGUGUGUGAGUUCCCGUUACAUCCUUGG